AGGAGCUGGAGGAAAGAGAAAGACCGGUACCCCACCUGGAGGACAAGGUGGGCCAUGACACCAUACACUCCCUCUCCAGUUGUAUGCCUUCCUGCCCUACAUGGCUGGACUGGACUUCAACUAGACUGCUACUGUGGUGAGGUCUUUGGUGAUAUUCCACUGGGCCUUCCCUCUGAUGCCCAGAUUUCCUUCAGAAGACUUGCAGUGAAAUCGGUGUCUUACCAAGGACCUGAGGGCUCAACAGUGAGGACACGACAACAAGAGUUGGACCACAUUACCAGGUCUGAGCGCAGUGGCGAGAGAGGAAGUUCCAUGAAGAUGUUGUAAAGUGGGUGAUCAGAGUUAUUCAGGAUGGUUUGUAAUGUCUUUAGUGGGCACCUUUCCACCACCUCCAUGUGUUUCCAGUCUGGUUUCAAUUACAGAGUCAGUUUUCCUCACUAGUUUGUCUAAUCUGUUUGCGCCCUUGUUUCUGAUGCUGCCUACCCAGCAGACUGCAGCAUAGAAAAGCGCACACCACCACAGACUGAUAGGCCUCAAUCUUCAGAAAUCUACUAUCUUAGAGGUGUUCAACAAGAGGUAGCUUUUGUCACUCUACUCAGUGAAAGCCUUUACAAGAUCCCUGUAUUCAGAGUACUGUCCAUUCCUGAUAUAUAUGCGCCACAAUGGCAGCAUCAUCCAAGUAUUUCUGGAUGUGGCAGGACUCAGAGUUGUAUUUGAAAUCUGCUGUAACCAACCUGAUAAACUGUGGCCUUUCUGUCAGGUAGUCUGUAAUCUAGGAAACGAGGAGGAAUCUACUCCCAUCUCUGUCAGCUUGUCUGAGUAUGUUGAGUUGGAUGGUUUUGAAAGCACUUGGGAAAAUAAACAUAGCUGUUACAUAAGCAUCAGAUUCCUCCAGAUGAACAAGCGCACAGUGAAGCAUCAUUCACGCUGAUGUGUUGUUUGUAUGCAGACUGAAGGGGGUCAAGUUCAUCUUUGACCUCAAGUCUCAGUCAGUGUAGAAUCAGCAAUGCAAUGGCCACCAAUCUGUAGUCAGUUAGUUCAGCUGGACAGUUUAUUUUGCCAAGGUAGGUAUCCCAGUAAGAACUUGUUUCACCUGCGUCCGGAGCAUGCGCUGGGCUGUGCAAAUCAUGGACAAACAGUAUCCGUCAUUCUUGAUUUUUAAGUUCACAAACUUCUUAUAAUGAAUAACUACUGAAAUUUCUGAGGUUUUAGCUCUUUGUACAGUAAAGUUAUAUCAAGAAACAAAUAAUUAUCAGGCAAACUGUCGUCUGUUUGUUGAAAUAAUCCCAUCCAAUAACACUUGAGAACAGUGAAGGUAUCAUUUCUGUUGUAACCCACAAACUG
This is a long non-coding RNA of Oreochromis niloticus (Nile tilapia), 1344 nucleotides long. RefSeq lists it as uncharacterized. Lineage: Eukaryota; Metazoa; Chordata; Actinopteri; Cichliformes; Cichlidae. The record is from RefSeq and is a predicted model, not a curated record. The transcript is spliced from 4 exons.